GCGUAGACGGUACAUUAAGUUUGUUGUUAAAGACUCUGGCCUAACCGGAGGGUUGCAAUGAAAACUGGUGAGCUAGAGGGUGAGAGAGAGAAGUGGAAUUCCCGGAGUAGCGGUAAAAUAGCGUGGAUCUCGGGAGGAACACCAAUGGCGAAGGCAGCUUCUUGGCUCAUUCCUGACGUUGAGGCACGAAAGCGUGGGGAGGCAAAACA
This 209-nucleotide ribosomal RNA is filed under the name uncultured bacterium. RNAcentral's name for it is "partial 16S ribosomal RNA". It matches the Rfam family "Bacterial small subunit ribosomal RNA", at positions 569 to 776 of the family's 1533-position model. The record is from RNAcentral.